Molecule: long non-coding RNA, 4685 nt
Filed under: Microcebus murinus (gray mouse lemur)
Lineage: Eukaryota; Metazoa; Chordata; Mammalia; Primates; Cheirogaleidae
Description: lncRNA (ENSMICG00000048531.1)
Source: RNAcentral
AUGACAGAGAUGGACAAGAGGACAGUUUCUCUGCUGAACUUCCUGGCGACCCACAGGAUAUUCUCCUCCCCCGGAGGCCGCGAGUGUGUCCUGAGGAUGCCGGUGAGACUGGCUCUGGCCGGCAGCCCAGGGAAACGUAGCCAGAAGCUGUCAUCCAGGGAGGACCUUAGAGCAUUUGUGACAUGGCUGGACCGUGUUGAACUCUACUGUAGACGUGGCAGUCUGGGUAGUGACUGUCUAGAAACCCCACAGUCACACUCGGGUGGCUUUCCACACCAGCAAAGCAGUUCAAGGCGCACAUGCAAAGCAGCCCAGGUGUACCAGGCCAACGACCCAGCUCUGAGGUGCAAAUCGGCUGUUGUCACAGAGCGCGCGGGUCUCCAAACCCCUGUGUCUUGUCCUGCAGCCAACAGCGGGGGCCGCGGCGAGCCUCUUUGUGUACAGAAACCACUUCUUCAAUCACCAAAAGGAUUUUUCAGGUCUCAGAGAUCUUGGCUGGGGACCGACUGCACCCACUGCAGAUGUCCGGACGGAGCUCCUGAACAGGAGGGCAGGCACCGGAAGUCAGCCUACACGAGGGAGAGUGGCUCUGCUAGGGAUGCGCACGGCUGUCACUCAUGUGUGCUUCCCUCGGUUGUCUUUCCCUGGCCGUGUCUGAGUUCGGAUAUGCUGCUGACUCAGAAUAGAUACCUGGAAAUUGAUUUUAGUUCUGAACCUCUUUUCCCCCUCCCAAGAUAAAGAUAACAGCUUUCUGGGAUUUUAUUUUAACCAUUUUCUGAAGAAAAAACAGGUAAUGUAAUGAUCAAAACAGAGGGGUACAUAGUUUAAAAAUUUAAAGGCACAGAUAAAUGUGAAUCAUAGAUUAUAAGACAGAAUGGAAAAAUCAUGUUAUGAAUAAUAAAGUUACUCAAAAUGGUCCAAAAUGUGUUUUUAUGUCAUUUUAGGGGUAGAAAACAAACAUGGAUUGUACAUACAUUAGUGUGGAAUAUUAAGUAUUUCUGAUAUUAAAUUGAUGUGUUAACAGUGCUAUGUUUACAAAUCACAAUCCAAUGCUAUUAAUUGUUCAGUAGUUUGGGUUAGGUUUCACUACUAUAAAUAAUGUUCCAAUAUAUAUGUUUCUGCAUGCUACUUUUAACAUAAUUAAAAAUAGUUUUAGUGCAUUAGUUUUGCAAUACAAUUUUCUGGAACAAAUAAACCCCCAAAUUCAGUGAUUUAACCUAGUAAGUUUUUAUUUUUCAUACAUGCGAUAGCCUAGUUCUUUUUCUAUUUAGUGGGUAGUUUUCCCCCAGUAGUGAUAAGGGGAUUUAGGGCCAGAAACGUGCACACACAAAAUUUCCUGAUGAUUAGUGAUGUUCAACAUUUUUUCAUAUGUUUGUUGGCCAUUUGUCUAUCUUCUUUUGAAAAAUGUUUGUUCAUGUCUUUUGCCCACUUUUUAGGGUUUUCCCCCCCCCCAAGAGUUUGUUUGAGUUCUUUGUAGAUUUUGGAUAUUAGUCCUUUGCUGGAUGUAUAGUUUGUGAAUAUUUUCUCCCAUUCUGUUGGUUUAUUUAUUAUCUUUAAUAUUUCUUUUGAUAUUUAGAGCUUUUUAGUUUAAUUACAUCCCAUUUGUUUUUGUUUUUGUUUUAUUUAUGAGCUCUAGCCAUAAAUUCUUUGCUUGGGCCAAUGUCAAGAAUAGUUUUUCCUAGGUUUUCUUCUGGAAUUUUUACGGUUUCAGAUCUUACACUUAAGUCUUCAAUCCAUCUUGAGUUAAUUUUUGUAUAUGGUGAGAGAUAGGGAUCCAGUUUCAUUCUUAUGAAUGUUGAAAUCCAGUUUUUCCAGCACCAUUUAUUGAAUAGGGUCUCCUUUCCCCAGCGUAUGUUUUCUUCUGCUUUGUUGAAUAAGUUUGUUGUAGGUUUAAGGUGUUGUUUCUGUGUUCUCUAGUCUGUCCAUUGAUCAAUGUGUCUACUUUUUAUACCUUAUUCCUUAUUUUUAAUUCCAUUGAUGCGGAGGUUCUGGACUGAUGGACACAGCUGAAUCUGUUAUGCAAACACUUUUGGUUUGGGUUCCACACACUGACUUUCAGGCUAUAAAACUUGGUUAACUCAAGAGAUUUUCACACAAAAUUUAAAUUUUAGACUUCUCAAAAAAUUGAAGUCUAGGCUUGCAUCCUGCACACCAGGGGUUAGCAGGAGCUGAUCACACGCCCUGAGCAUGCGUGCUCCGUGCUCCACAUGGUCAGGGUUUCAGAGACCCCCCAUUCUCGCUGCCGUUGAGUCCGUUGCUACAUCUCAUCACACUGGGACUGUUGCUUUUCUUAGCUUAUUUCACUCAUUUCGGUUAUUGUCCUGGCCCUUAGAGUCAUUUGAAUUCAUGAUAGCUGGACUAGGGGGUAACUUCGAGUUUUCGACCUUUGUUCCUCUAUUUGUCAGAGCCAAAAGUGAAACAAUGUCUUCUUAUGCAUAACUUUUUGAAACACGAUGUGUAACAGAAGCCAUUAUAUGUUUUACACAAUGACAAGCAGACGCAUGUACUCAUAUGCGUUUUACAGCAAGCUUUUUGUUCUUUAUUGUUCAUACCAAGUGCUGAGGUUUAAUUGCACACAUUAUAAAAUGUAUCCCUUUAAAGGUAGAGAUUGAUGAAUACUGUUCAAUGUACAUAAUCACGUAACUACCACAAUCAAGAUAUAGAAAAUUUCAUCACCUACGACACUUGUCUCAUGCCCCUACACAGUCAAUCCAUUCUGCCCACACCUAGUCACUGGCAUCACUUACAUGUUUUCUGUUCCUUUGGUUUUGCUUUUUCUAGGUCCUAUAAACUCUAUCAGACAGUAUGUAUUUCUAUUUCUACUUUCAUUUGGCAUAAUGCUUUUGUGAUACUUCCAUGUUGUUACAUGUAUUCUGGAAUUUGUUGCUUUUAUUGCUGAAUCGCAGCCCACUGCACAGGGUACCAAUUUUAGUUUAUCCACUCAUCAAUGAUGGAUGUUUGGGUUGUUUUAAAUAUUUUUUUACCAUGAGUAAUUAAACUGCUAUUGAGCAUCCAUAUACCAAUCUUUGUGUGAACACCUGCUUUGAUUUUCCUGGCUGAAUAUCUAAGAAUGGAAUUUAUAAUGGAAUGGGUCAUAUUUUAAGUGUAUAUUUAACUUUAUAAGAAACCCCCAAACUAAUUUUUUAAUGUGGUUGUAUCAUUUUGCAUUCUCACAAGAGUUGCUCUAGUAGGAAAUGGUGUCUCAUUGUGAUUUUUAUUUGCAGUGCUCUGAUGACUGAGGAGAAUGAGAAUUUUUCAUGUAGUCAUUUAUCCUUUGUAUAUCUUCUUUGGUGAAGAGUCUGUUCAAACCCUUUGCCCAUUUUUAUGAUGAUUUUUUUCUUAUUGAUACUGAGUUGUAAGUGUUUUUUAUAUAUUUGAGAUACAAAUUCUUUAACAUUUAUUUUGUAAAUGUUUUCUUCCAUUUAGUCUGAGGCUAAUGUUUAUAUUCUUUAUAAAUUUUUCUGCUCUUUUGAAGAGCAGAAGUUUUGAAUUUUGAUGACGUAUAAUUCAUCAAAUUUUUUUUAGUUAGGGUCUUGCUAUAUUGCCCAGGCUGGUCAUGAAGUCCUGGCCUCAAGCAAUCCUCCCACAUCAGCCUCCUCAGUGGCUGAGCCUGUGUGCAUAGGCCACCACACCUGGCUAUUUUUUCUAUUACGGUUUUUGCUUAUUGUAUCCCAAGAAAGUUGUGAUUAGUUCAAGAAAACAAAUUUGUUAUCAUAUGUUUUAUUGAAGAAAUUUUGUAUACUUAGCUUUUACACUUAGGUUUAUGUUUUAUUUCAUGUUAAUGUUUGUAUGUAGCAUGUGUGGUAAGGACUGGAGAUCAUUUUAUUCAUACGGAUAUUUAGUUUUUCCUGAAUUGUUGUUAAAGAGAAUGUCUUUUUUCUACUAAAUGCUUGGCAUCAUUGCCAAAUAUCAGUCAACUCUAUAUGUGCGAGCCUAUUUUUAGAAUAUGUAUUUUGUUCUCUUGAUGUAUGUAACUAUCCUUAAGCCAACACCUCACUCUUUUGAUAGCUGAAGCUUUACAGUAAAUACAAUCAGGUAGUGCAAGGCCUGUCAUUUUGUUCUGCUUUUUAAGUAUUAUUUUGGCUGUUCUAGAUUGUUUGCUUUUCUACAUUAAUUUAAAAUUCAGCUUUUAAAUUUCUAUUUUUAAAAAGCUGCUAUUUCUUCUGAUGGGGAUUACUUUGAAUCUACAGCUAAACCUAGGAGAGCUGACAAUAUUGAAUUAACAACAUUGCAUCUCUUGACUAUAAACGUCGUAUAUAUUAUUAAUCUGGGCCUUAAUUUUUCUCAGCAAUAGUUUGUAAUUUUCAGUAUUCUACUGCAGUUCCUUAAAGACUAUAUUAUUUUGUGCUCAUUUGAAGACUUGUCUAAUAUUACUCUUCAAUUACAGUCAAUAUUUUAAAAAAUCCUUUCUCUGAUUUUUCUCUCUAUUUAGUCUUUGGGCAGGAGGAUCAUAUCCCUGUGGAUAGGCGGUGGUGAUGAGAAAAAGCAUGACAUCAAACAUAUUUUGAAAAUAGUGCUGAUAAUAUUUAGUGAUAGAGAGGGUCUACAAACAAGUAAAGAAUAAAAAUUUUGUCCUAAGGAACUGUGCAGUUGUUUAUGAUGUUUACUGCCAUGGGUGUCCAUCUAUCAGUUAGGCUGUGGUUAUGGACAACAAAUUUUUCUAAUUAUUUAAAACAUGAACUGAU